RNAcentral lists this ribosomal RNA (522 nucleotides) under uncultured Pseudomonadota bacterium. RNAcentral describes it as "bacterial SSU rRNA". It matches the Rfam family "Bacterial small subunit ribosomal RNA", at positions 8 to 522 of the family's 1533-position model. The record is from RNAcentral. Lineage: Bacteria; Pseudomonadati; Pseudomonadota.
AGAGUUUGAUCAUGGCUCAGAGUGAACGCUGGCGGCAUGCCUAACACAUGCAAGUCGAACGGUAACAGGCCCGCAAGGGUGCUGACGAGUGGCGGACGGGUGAGGAAUACAUCGGAAUCUGCCCGGUUGUGGGGGAUAACGUAGGGAAACUUACGCUAAUACCGCAUACGACCGAAAGGUGAAAGCGUGGGAUCCGCAAGGACCUCGCGCAGCCGGAUGAGCCGAUGUCGGAUUAGCUAGUUGGCGGGGUAAAGGCCCACCAAGGCGACGAUCCGUAGCUGGUCUGAGAGGAUGAUCAGCCACACUGGGACUGAGACACGGCCCAGACUCCUACGGGAGGCAGCAGUGGGGAAUAUUGGACAAUGGGGGCAACCCUGAUCCAGCAAUGCCGCGUGUGUGAAGAAGGCCUUCGGGUUGUAAAGCACUUUUAUCCGGAACGAAACGUGUUGGGUGAAUAGCCCAGCAAACUGACGGGACCGGAGGAAUAAGCACCGGCUAACCUUCGUGCCAGCAGCCGCGGUA